This 896-nucleotide long non-coding RNA is filed under the name Homo sapiens (human). RNAcentral describes it as "non-protein coding LINC01676:33". The record is from RNAcentral. Lineage: Eukaryota; Metazoa; Chordata; Mammalia; Primates; Hominidae.
GAGGAGCAAGACAUGAGGUUAAUAAUUAUCAAAUAUAUGGCAAUGCUGGACUUUAGCUGAUCAUCGUGCUUCUGGAAAACAACAAAAAUUGAGAUAUCUGUUCACCACUUUGUGUGUCCAAGGACCACCUACUUUUUACAUGUGACAAGAACUACCCACCUCCACUCUUCAGGAUAGAACAUGCUGAAGAAAAGAGUUGCAAUGAGAAAAUAUAUGGGAACAAAAUACCUAUGCAAUGCAGAAGUCUGCAUAACUGAACCACUCAGAGGAAAAAGUUUCCCUCCCAGGCUGGAGUACAAUGGCGCGACCUCGGCUCACUGCAACUUCCACCUCCCAGUUCAAGCAAUUCUCCCACCUCAGCUUCCUUAGUAGCUGGGAUUACAAGUGCCUGACACCAGGCCAAGCUAUUUUUGUAUUUUUAGUAGAGACGGGGUUUCACCAUUUUGACCAGGCUGGUCUCAAACUCCUGACCUCAGUCCAUCGGUCCACCUCGGCCUCCCAAAGUGCUGGGAUUGCAGGCAUGAGCCACCGCUCCUGGCCUCAAGUUUAAUUCUUAAGUGAGUCAAUCAGUUAUAGUUCUGUUCAAAGCUUUCAGUGCACCUAAAAUUUCAUCCAACAUCUAUUAUCUUUCAUCAUAUGCUAAAACAGCUUGAAGAUGUAUAUGAUUUUAUAAAAAAUAAUCUAUAAAACAAAACAACCAAAUUAAGGGUUUACAUUUUAAAGCACCAAUAUUCACCUAUAGUUGGUGAAUGUACAGUUAGAAUGAAAAAAAAUAGAAUUUUGGUGAAUUCUGAAAUGGUUCCACCCUAUCCAAACAAGUUGUAUUAAUGCAUGUAUACAUUUCUUAAUAGAUAAAGUACUCGAAUUGCUACAAAUACAGAAGCUUACAAGUUUCC